RNAcentral lists this ribosomal RNA (381 nucleotides) under uncultured bacterium. RNAcentral describes it as "bacterial SSU rRNA". It matches the Rfam family "Bacterial small subunit ribosomal RNA", at positions 107 to 488 of the family's 1533-position model. The record is from RNAcentral.
UGCGUAACGCGUAUACAAUCUACCUUUUGCUGAGGGAUAGCCCAGAGAAAUUUGGAUUAAUACCUCAUAGUAUUAUUGAUAGGCAUCUAUUAAUAAUUAAAGGUUACGGCAAAAGAUGAGUAUGCGUCCCAUUAGCUAGUUGGCGAGGUAACGGCUCACCAAGGCAACGAUGGGUAGGGGUCCUGAGAGGGAGAUCCCCCACACUGGUACUGAGACACGGACCAGACUCCUACGGGAGGCAGCAGUGAGGAAUAUUGGACAAUGGGCGAGAGCCUGAUCCAGCCAUGCCGCGUGCAGGAAGACUGCCCUAUGGGUUGUAAACUGCUUUUAUACAGGAAGAAUAAGCCUUACGUGUAAGGUGAUGACGGUACUGUAAGAAUA